UUCGCAAUGCCCGAAAGGGUGACGAAGCGACGCCGCGUGUGGGAAGAAGGCCUUCGGGUUGUAAACCACUGUCGGGAGUUAAGAAAUGCAAGGAUAUGAAUAGUGUCUUUGCUUGACUAAGGCUCCGGAGGAAGCCACGGCUAACUCUGUGCCAGCAGCCGCGGUAAUACAGAGGCGGCAAGCGUUGUUCGGAAUUAUUGGGCGUAAAGAGCACGUAGGCGGCUAUGUAAGUCGGUUGUGAAAGCCUUCCGCUCAACGGGAGAACAGCAUCCGAUACUACAUGGCUUGAGUGCGGGAGGGGAGAGUGGAACUUCUGGUGGAGCGGUGAAAUGAGUAGAUAUCAGAAGGAACGCCGGCGGCGAAAGCGGCUCUCUGGCCCAUAACUGACGCUGAGUGUGCGAAAGCUAGGGGAGCAAACGGGAUUAGAUACCCCGGUAGUCCUAGCCGUAAACGAUGGGCACUAAGUAGAGGGGUUUU
This 477-nucleotide ribosomal RNA is filed under the name uncultured bacterium. RNAcentral's name for it is "bacterial SSU rRNA". It matches the Rfam family "Bacterial small subunit ribosomal RNA", at positions 365 to 832 of the family's 1533-position model. The record is from RNAcentral.